AUUGAACUCUGGCGGCAGGCCUAACACAUGCAAGUCGAACGAGCGGCGGACGGGUUAGUAAUGUCUGGGAAACUGCCCGAUGUAGGGGGAUAACUACUGGAAACGGUAGCUAAUACCGCAUACCAUCAGAUGUGCCCCGAUGGGAUUAGAUAGUAGGUGGGGUAACGGCUCACCUAGGCGACGAUCCCUAGCUGGUCUGAGAGGAUGACCAGCCACACUGGAACUGAGACACGGUCCAGACUCCUACGGGAGGCAGCAGUGGGGAAUAUUGCACAAUGGGCGCAAGCCUGAUGCAGCAAUGCCGCGUGUAUGAAGAAGGCCUUCGGGUUGUAAAGUACUUUCAGCGGGGAGGCGUUACCCGCAGAAGAAGCACCGGCUAACUCCGUGCCAGCAGCCGCGGUAAUUC
RNAcentral lists this ribosomal RNA (406 nucleotides) under uncultured bacterium. RNAcentral describes it as "partial 16S ribosomal RNA". It matches the Rfam family "Bacterial small subunit ribosomal RNA", at positions 30 to 526 of the family's 1533-position model. The record is from RNAcentral.